UUGAAGGAAAAGCUGAUUCCUCCCCGACAUUUACUUCUUUGAUAAAACGGGUGGAUGUAGCAGGAAAAACAAAACCAAAAAAAUAUAUCCCCCCCGUCUCGGUAUAAAGGAUAGAGAGCCACAUCUGCCGGGAGCUGCCUGUUGCAAAGGUAUAACCACAUGUUUUAGAAUCUGGAUCAACUGCUUUCCAUGCUGGAUAACUCAGCUACGUGGGACUUGAGGACUUUCAGCCCCUCAGAUCGCUUUGCUCUCCACCUGCCAGCUCUCCUGAGCACCAAAUCCACUUGAAAACGGAGAAAAAUGUUCGGCUGAUAAGGAAAAGCGAACACAAAGAGCACGACACUUCCCAGGCACCAUUAAAGGGAGACAAAAAGAGCCUAAAAGGAGAAGAAAAGCUUUCAGUGCCCCCAGCUCGCAUUUUCCCCGCACGUGCGGAAUGAAAGGGCAGCGGGGCUGUGCCUCCCUCGCUGCUCCGACACCGAUGAACAAGAUAACCGUGAGCAGCAGGAGAGCCCUGCGGCUGCGGGCGAGCUGGGGAGGCGAUCCCGGCUCAUUCUCAUGCAGCAUUGUGGGGAUGCAGGCCGGCCUGGCAGGUAUCGGGCUGAACUCUCAGGAGCCUGCAGUGGCAGGGAUUUUAUCUCCUCCCCAGAGAGCCCUCGGGUACUCAGCUAUCCCAGGGGCUCGUUUUUCUCUGCAUCCAACCCAAACCUUUCUUGCUACAGGACUGGUUCCUCCUGGACCUCUUCUGACAGCUGUGUGACACAGAUGAGCCUUAAUGACCCUUAAUGCAAAAUAUGUAUUUCAGCUGCUUUUUUUACAGUGUGACUACUGCUUAUGAUAGAGAAUUUCACCUGUACAAGCACAAAAUCGGAUCGAAUUAACUUCUUUAAAGGGUUUCUCUGCCUCUGAAGAGGGUGUCCCUCUGCCACCACUCUGGUUUUGCAGCUUUACAACAGCAGACCUGUGAACUGAGAUGCCCAGCAGUUUUCUUUUUAUUAUUUUUUUUUUCUUUUUUAAAGGAAGUCAUUAUUCAUCGAUAUUUAAAGAAAAAGCAAACAAAUAUUUGAUGUGCUGUGUUAGCAUGAAAGGGGGACCCCUGUGCAAGCACAGAAAGCACAGGUGAGCUAUUUUAUAGGAGAGAAAACAACCUGGGGGGGUCGGAAAUGGGGCUACUACAAAGGUAAAUCCCGGCUGUGUAAAUACAGAGAGAGAGAGAAGUUUGGUUAUCCUCAAAGGGGAGACAGAGACACCAAACACAUGGCUUUAUAAUUCAGAGUUUGACAUCUGUAAGCAUCACAGAAAAAGAGCACAAAAAGCACAAAACUGAGGGAAGAGCAGAGAUACAGGAGGUCAGUGAGAUCAGCAGAGAUUCUGUCCUACCCAAAGAGAGUCCAGCAGGUUUUCUGUCUGACACUAGAUGUUAAUUUAACCACAGAGCUGAGAAAUGUAGCUGGAAAAUCCCUUCUCCCUCUUUAAAGCCUAAAAUCUACUUAUUAUGCCAAUCAAUUUGUGAUUGUGCUUUGUGGAGACCCAAUCCAUGUAGAUAUAUUUAAAAAAAAUAAUUUUCUUGAGUUCUACUCCUCUGCAAGAAUCAAAACACACUCAAAGCCUUGUCCAGCUCUAAAGGAUUUCUGAACUUUUAGAGAAAAUCAAAAGUCCAUUAGUUUCUUUUCUUAUCAUUUAUGUGCAUAAGCUUCCAACACUUCCAGGCUUUCCCUGGCACUACAAACAGAACAGAGAAAAUGCAUCAAGAAAAUCUAUUCCUUGGUUAUUUCCAGCCCAGUUAGUUUGAGGAAUUAAAAUAAAUCUAUGAAAGAAUAAAAAAAUAAAGUCAUGUGCAAGGUUUUCAUGGAUGUUUUUCAGACCAAAGAGGUUCUGAUGGAUUUUAAAGAUUCAUCCAAACUUCAGAGUGAGUUUCCAAACCAAACAUGGCUGCAAACCCUGACAUCCAUCAGCUGCUAGUUUGCCAACCUUCCUAUCAUGAAGCAAAAAAAGGACCAUUUAAGAUCAUCUCAGAAUAUUCUGCUUUCAUGGCCAUUUUGCUCUGUGACAGUUUGUAGUCACCAGAACACAAAUAUUCAUGUUGCAAAUGGUUAAAGGCCGGGCCCAGCAGUAACAUAGACAUACACCAGGAUUAAAUAAUAAAUCUCAUUUUUCUGACAUCUUCACUCUGAGAAAACUGUGCUAUCAGAAUAAUAAUAAUUAAAAUGUCCACGACUGACCAUUAUGACUUUUUCUCUUGGAAUUAAAUACUUCAAAUAGCAAAAUGAAUCAUUAGGCUGUGUGAAGAGCAGCUGGACAUGAAGUGUUUUGCCUAAAGCCAACCCAGCUCCUGGAUGAGGAUGGGAUUUGCUGGAUGGUUGAACAUCUCCAAUAGCAAUGCCUUGGAAAAAUGAGCGUGAUUUAAAUCUCACAUUUCCUACUCCAGGACUGCCCAGUUUGUACCUGUUUUUAGCAGGAGAUGCUCUGGAGUCUGCAGGAAAGGCCAUCAGAGCAAAGAGGAAAGGAGCAUAUGGUGAGCAGCAGACCUGGAAUGGAGGGUGGGACACUAUUCCAAUCCGAAGUUUUUAUUGGCAAAAGGACUGGCAAAUACAAACUGCCAGGAAUAAAUUGCUGCUGGAACUCAGAGGACAUGUUCGAGUCAUCAGCAGACACAAAGCCUGAGAGGAAGGAUCUUACUCAGGGACAGCACGACCUCCUUAGGAAAAACUGCACAUCCUUCCUGCUUGGCAUUGCAGGAAAUACCAGGAAAAUAACCCUCCAGUGUAUCUCUGGUUCCAAUGAGAAUUUAGGGGGAAAAGAGACACCUAGGCAGAAAAAAUGGAAUGAGGUCACAGUGAGGGGCACCCCAAGCCCAGACAGAGCUGAGUGUCCAGCUGAGGCUGUUUUCCUGUGGGUGGAUUUACAUGGCAACCCUGGCCCCAGCACAGAGGUUUUCCAGGAUUUACCUUUUUUUAAGAUUCCCAUGACAAGGAAAGUGAUUAAUCUCCAUUUCAUGGCAGCAGGAGCUGAGCAAGAGACUGCUUGGUUUUGCCAAGAUAACCAGGAGAAAAGUCCAGCUCAUUUCUGGGCAGCACUACAGAAAGAGGGAAAAAACUGAACCAGGUAUUAAGGGAAGAGAUGAACAAUGAAAGUCAAGACUAUCCUAGUUUUACAUAUAAAUACAAGAAAUUGGAAGGGCAAACAUUGAAAAAAUUAAAGUUCCUCUUGACUAGUUUUUCAAUUGAGUAUUUCAGGAAAGAAGAAUUUAACACUGUCCUAAAAACUACCUUGAGGCAGCAGCACUGAUACAAAUUUCCAGAGUUGUCCCAGACCUUCUGUGAGGAAGAACCAACAUUCUGGGGCAGAGGAGCUGAAGCUUAAGACUGCAAUUCCAGUGGAAACUCAGAGAAGCAGUUCCUUUAGGAGUUGCAAUUUAUUCUUCUGGAACAGAAGGAAUUAUUGCACCAAACAGGGGCUAAGAUGUCCUGACAGCAGCAGUGCAGAACUAUCUCUGCAGCAGUUAUUAAUGAGCUGGAAAAAUGCUGGGAAGCAAAUGCACCUCCCCUCCCCAAGGCCAGAAUUCAUGGCAACAAAUCCCUAAAAUAAUCAGCUAACUCUGGAAGAUUAGGAGAAGGGAUGCCUCCAGAUGACAGAAGAUUUCUUAAUUCCAGUUACUUAUAAGGUCACAUUAAGCAGGAGAAAAACUUGCUCUGAAGUUUAUAAAUUAGUUUCUAAUCUAUUCCACAGCUUUCAGUAUUUCUGGUCUACAUUCUGUGUUACAGUCUAAAAUAAGAAGGGAAAAAUGUAAUAAAAAAAAUUGAAUCACUUGGGUUAGCCAAGAAAGGAUUUAAGCACUUAAUUUAGACUCCUGCUGCUACUAUCAUUAUUAUAUCUAUAGUUUUAUAUAUAUUUAUGUAUAUGUUUGCAGAGUGUUGCUGAAAUUUCCAGAGGGAAGGCAGCACUGAACAUCACAGAGGAGCUGACUUCUGGCAAUUACUAUUCUUUAUUUUUCUCCCCAAACUGUCCUGUGAAAAAUAAAUUUGGUGCGUUGUUUUUUCUUUCCAGAA
Molecule: long non-coding RNA, 4049 nt
Organism: Parus major (Great Tit)
Lineage: Eukaryota; Metazoa; Chordata; Aves; Passeriformes; Paridae
Exons: 2
Source: RefSeq, a predicted model, not a curated record